This 600-nucleotide ribosomal RNA is filed under the name uncultured bacterium. RNAcentral's name for it is "bacterial SSU rRNA". It matches the Rfam family "Bacterial small subunit ribosomal RNA", at positions 338 to 955 of the family's 1533-position model. The record is from RNAcentral.
CCUACGGGAGGCAGCAGUGGGGAAUCUUGCGCAAUGGGCGAAAGCCUGACGCAGCAACGCCGCGUGCGGGAAGAAGGCCUUAGGGUUGUAAACCGCUUUCAGUAGGAACGAAAAUGACGGUACCUGCAGAAGAAGGUGCGGCCAACUACGUGCCAGCAGCCGCGGUGACACGUAGGCACCAAGCGUUGUCCGGAUUUAUUGGGCGUAAAGAGCUCGUAGGCGGUUCAGUAAGUCGGGUGUGAAAACUCUGGGCUUAACCCAGAGCCGCCACUCGAUACUGCUGUGACUUGAGUUCGGUAGGGGAGCAGGGAAUUCCUAGUGUAGCGGUGAAAUGCGCAGAUAUUAGGAGGAACACCGGUGGCGAAGGCGCUGCUCUGGGCCGAUACUGACGCUGAGGAGCGAAAGCGUGGGUAGCAAACAGGAUUAGAUACCCUGGUAGUCCACGCCGUAAACGUUGGGCACUAGGUGUGGGUUCCAACCAACGGAAUCCGCGCCGUCGCUAACGCAUUAAGUGCCCGCCUGGGGAGUACGGCGGCAACGCUAAAACUCAAAGGAUAGUACGGCGNGNGACGACGCGACGACGACGACGACGGAGGAGAG